GGGGGUAUAGCUCUGUGGUAGAGCGCUUCCUUAACACGGGACGAAAGUGGGGUCAAUUCCCCAUGCCUUCA
RNAcentral lists this transfer RNA (71 nucleotides) under Ancylostoma ceylanicum. It matches the Rfam family "tRNA". Rfam says of the family: Transfer RNA (tRNA) molecules are approximately 80 nucleotides in length. Their secondary structure includes four short double-helical elements and three loops (D, anti-codon, and T loops). Further hydrogen bonds mediate the characteristic L-shaped molecular structure. tRNAs have two regions of fundamental functional importance: the anti-codon, which is responsible for specific mRNA codon recognition, and the 3' end, to which the tRNAs corresponding amino acid is attached (by aminoacyl-tRNA synthetases). tRNAs cope with the degeneracy of the genetic code in two manners: having more than one tRNA (with a specific anti-codon) for a particular amino acid; and 'wobble' base-pairing, i.e. permitting non-standard base-pairing at the 3rd anti-codon position. The record is from Rfam by way of RNAcentral. Lineage: Eukaryota; Metazoa; Nematoda; Chromadorea; Rhabditida; Ancylostomatidae.